GUGUUAACACCUGAGCAAACAUCCAACCUCAUAUCUUCUUGCAAAUUCUUUGACCUGACAAUUAAACCAUCCUGAUCUAACUUUCGGCCCUAUAUUUUAAUUUUGCUAAUAAAUGUGUCAGUGAACAAAAUCCUCAAAGUCACACAUAAUGAGUUCAUAUUAAUUUCAUAGUAAUUUAAAUAAUUUAAUUACCCCUGAUUUCUUUCAGAACACACUGUUUGAACUCAUGAUAUGUAAAAUUAAGGAUUUAGUGCUCACAUUAUUAUCAACCUAAUUUUUUCCUGCUAUCACCUAUCUUGUAAAUAAACUCCUGGGAAAUACUGUGUAGCAAUGCCAUUGGUAUCCAUGUUUGAAUUAAACAUAAAUCAUAAUUUAAUUGCAACUUUUAUUUUAUAUAUAUACAUCACGAUUAUAAUUUGGCCCUUGGGGAAACUACUCAGCUAAAAAAUUUAAUUUUUUGCUCCAUGCCUAAACCAAGAGCCUAGCUAUGUGCAUACUGAAAAGUAGCAAAGUAUAGACCCCUGGCUUGACAUCACAC
Molecule: long non-coding RNA, 538 nt
Filed under: Mytilus galloprovincialis (Mediterranean mussel)
Lineage: Eukaryota; Metazoa; Mollusca; Bivalvia; Mytilida; Mytilidae
Source: RNAcentral